GAUGAACGCUGGCGGCGUGCCUAAUACAUGCAAGUCGAGCGUACAGACGAGGAGCUUGCUCCUCUGACGUUAGCGGCGGACGGGUGAGUAACACGUGGAUAACCUACCUAUAAGACUGGGAUAACUUCGGGAAACCGGAGCUAAUACCGGAUAAUAUAUUGAACCGCAUGGUUCAAUAGUGAAAGACGGUUUUGCUGUCACUUAUAGAUGGAUCCGCGCCGCAUUAGCUAGUUGGUAAGGUAACGGCUUACCAAGGCAACGAUGCGUAGCCGACCUGAGAGGGUGAUCGGCCACACUGGAACUGAGACACGGUCCAGACUCCUACGGGAGGCAGCAGUAGGGAAUCUUCCGCAAUGGGCGAAAGCCUGACGGAGCAACGCCGCGUGAGUGAUGAAGGUCUUCGGAUCGUAAAACUCUGUUAUUAGGGAAGAACAAAUGUGUAAGUAACUAUGCACGUCUUGACGGUACCUAAUCAGAAAGCCACGGCUAACUUCGUG
RNAcentral lists this ribosomal RNA (497 nucleotides) under uncultured bacterium. RNAcentral describes it as "partial 16S ribosomal RNA". It matches the Rfam family "Bacterial small subunit ribosomal RNA", at positions 28 to 507 of the family's 1533-position model. The record is from RNAcentral.